Salmo salar (Atlantic salmon) is the source of this 58-nucleotide non-coding RNA. NCBI's taxonomy places the organism in Eukaryota, Metazoa, Chordata, Actinopteri, Salmoniformes, Salmonidae. The record is from Rfam.
UGGCUCAGUUGGUAGAGCAUGGUGUUUGCAACGCCAGGGUUGUGGGUUCCAUUCCCAC